Molecule: ribosomal RNA, 507 nt
Filed under: uncultured Glomus
Lineage: Eukaryota; Fungi; Glomeromycota; Glomeromycetes; Glomerales; Glomeraceae
Description: SSU rRNA
Rfam family: Eukaryotic small subunit ribosomal RNA
Source: RNAcentral
AGCAGCCGCGGUAAUUCCAGCUCCAAUAGCGUAUAUUAAAGUUGUUGCAGUUAAAAAGCUCGUAGUUGAAUUUCGGGAUCAAUAUAUCGGUCAUGCUUAGGUAUGUACUGGUAUUAUUGAUUUCUCCCUUCUGAAGAACCAUGGUGUCAUUUAUUUGAUGUCGUGGGGAAUCAGGACUGUUACUUUGAAAAAAUUAGAGUGUUUAAAGCAGGCUUUCGCUUGAAUACAUUAGCAUGGAAUAAUGAAAUAGGACGUUUGAUUCUAUUUUGUUGGUUUCUAGGAUCGACGUAAUGAUUAAUAGGGAUAGUUGGGGGCAUUAGUAUUCAAUUGUCAGAGGUGAAAUUCUUGGAUUUAUUGAAGACUAACUACUGCGAAAGCAUUUGCCAAGGAUGUUUUCAUUAAUCAAGAACGAAAGUUAGGGGAUCGAAGACGAUCAGAUACCGUCGUAGUCUUAACCAUAAACUAUGCCGACUAGGGAUCGGAUGAUGUUAAUUUUUUAAUGACUCA